Molecule: non-coding RNA, 739 nt
Organism: Coffea arabica (coffee)
Lineage: Eukaryota; Viridiplantae; Streptophyta; Magnoliopsida; Gentianales; Rubiaceae
Source: RefSeq, a predicted model, not a curated record
ACUGCAUUUCAUCAAUCAUGAAAGUGGCUUUGAAUUGCACAAGGGAAUCUCCAAAGGAGAGAAGCAACAUGCAUGAUGUUCUUGCUGAUUUGAAGAAGAUCAAACUUCAGCUACUGCCAUGUUCAAAUUAAAAGGAGGUCAAUGCGCUUCCAAAUUUACUAGUUCCCGGAGUAGAACGAAAAUAUGAUAACAAGUGCCAAUUUGACAGAAAAGAAGUCCAGAUGAAAGAGCUUGUCCCAGGGGUAUUUUUGGAAAAGGAGAUGUUACGCCCAUUUUGGUGAAUUUCGCGAGGGAAGGACGGCUGAAGGGCUUCGUUAUGCUGAGGUGCCGCCGCAAUUAAAAGAAAGAAGAGGAAGCAAUGGAACGGGGGGCUUGAUAAAGUCUUUCGUCUGUAGCUUAGGAUGAAUUGCUGACUUUUCCAAGAGGAAUUCUUGUGGCCUUUCUUACGCAUAGCAGCACUUAGCAUUCUUAGCUUUUGACUUUUCCUAGGACUUACUCUUGAGUCUUGGCUUUAGGAAAUUACGCAUGUCAGGAGCAAGCAAUUGUUAGCCUUGAGCUUUGACUUUUCUUUUUGAUCUCUUUUCGAUUUUGAAUCCUGCGCAUGUCAAGACCGGAUGGAGGAACUUUGACUCCUUUGACUCCUAAUUCUUAGUAGCUUCGUUUCCUUCCGCGGAUGAAAAGAGCAAAUUGGAUGACUUGACUUCGUUUUCCUUUGCAAUUUGAACGACUUGAAUUUGUC